RNAcentral lists this ribosomal RNA (314 nucleotides) under Glomus sp. 35053 JG-2015. RNAcentral describes it as "eukaryotic LSU rRNA". The stretch from base 1 to 71 matches the Rfam family "5.8S ribosomal RNA", at positions 84 to 154 of the family's 154-position model. The record is from RNAcentral. Lineage: Eukaryota; Fungi; Glomeromycota; Glomeromycetes; Glomerales; Glomeraceae.
GUGAAUCAUCGAAUCUUUGAACGCAAUUGCACUCGUCUGGUAUUCCUGGGAGUAUGCCUGUUUGAGGGUCGGUAUAAUAAUAAUAUCGAUGUGUUGCUUUGUGACAUUUCAGAUUUGGGUUAUCUUAAUUCUUUAAAGAGACCUGAAAUUGAUGUUUCUUGCAUCUUUUAGACGUGUAAUUUUUUUAUGUCGUCCUUUGAUGUCAAGUUUUAUUAGGUGUGAUCAUGUCAUUGAACUCGCGCCUAUAAGAUUCGCUUUUCGACCUCAAAUCAGGUAAGAAACCCGCUGAACUUAAGCAUAUCAAUAAGCGGAGG